ACAGCAGGCGCUAACAAGUGUUUGUACUUAUAUUUAAUUAGGUGUCUGUCUAUCUAGCUAACUACCUUCGGAGUUCGACACACGCAGCUUAAAUAUUAAAACGUACGUCGGUAACAGGGUUUCCUCUAGCAAGUAUCGGAUAGGGUUUCGCCUACUAGGCUAGUACGAUAACGCUGCAUCAUUUACAAUUUCAGUUGUACUCAUCGCCGACACCCUGUUGUGUCACUAAAUUAAUGGAGGUCAUUCAAGUUACGCCGUGGCAAAUAGCUCCCUGCGAGUUUUUUCCAGCCUCCUUUCGAUUUCUUCGGGCUCUAAAUCAGACAAGACUCGAAGACAGGGGCCGUCCGAUGUGGUGUCCUCAUCCUGUCGGCUCUCGGGGCUGUCAGAAUCCGGGAAAGGUGUAUUUUCCUGGUUUAGAGCAUGUACGCUCGGCGGCUGGAUGGAGGAAGCUGCCGCCAUUUUGAUAAGCUCUGUGGCGAGUGAGUGGAAGCAGUAGGAGGUGGGCGUCUGUAUUGCCGUUGCUCCAUCGACAGAACAGACGAAAAGAUUAGUUGUUUUUCAGCCAGAGUUAGUCCUCUGGUCUUCCUGAUGGUGUGCCUCUGACUCCAAAUGCAAUCUCUACGGAUGGAAAUAAAGGCUAAACUUAAGAUAU
Molecule: long non-coding RNA, 652 nt
Organism: Conger conger (European conger)
Lineage: Eukaryota; Metazoa; Chordata; Actinopteri; Anguilliformes; Congridae
Exons: 3
Source: RefSeq, a predicted model, not a curated record